AUAUAUACAACAGUGUUGUAUUACUUAACUAUAACUACAUUUGUAAAUCUAUUUUAGUACAGCAAAAUUUCAAUUUUAGUUUGGUGUACAUGUUUUCAAAAUACGUACUUGUGACCUGCUGUACUACAAUGUAUGUCAGAUGACAGACAGAGGUGCACACAUCAAACCAUUUUCAUACCUUCUUCAAUGCAGUCCAUGCAUGAAGCAUGCAUGCAUGGCUCCCAAGCUCUGGUUACAUCAAAGAGACUACUACUUCAUUAUUAUUAUUUCAUAUAGUAAAUAUAACUCUGCUGUUGGCAGACAACUGUUAAUAAAAUGUAGCUAUAGGCAAAUUAUGCUAGCAUAAUUGGAGCAUUAUAAUAGAGCAUAAUGGGUAAAAAUUUCUGGCUGAAUACAUGAUUUCAAGUACUAGUAGAACAACCCAACUGCUUAACACCCACCUACUCAUGUGUGGUGACCUACACAAGUGUGAUGAGUCCAAUGGCUUAGGCUGUGCUAUUUUGCAGUGACUCAAAAGUCUGGAAACAUUUUUAGACUCUGGCAUUAUUAUAAUAUUGCAAUUAUAACAGAUGCAUGCAUGUACAUGUAACUUGAUAGCUGAUAUUUGAGUAAAGCUUAAAAUAUGAGCAUAAAUGGAUUCAUUUCAAAGGAUAAUAGGAUGGAAUUUGGAGCAGCGCCUAAAAGCAUAAUUUUCCAACCCCUACAUAUAGCCCAGCCAAGCUAUAUACAAUGCUAAACUAGUGUUACUGUCAGUACAAGGAGAAAGAGAGAGAGAGAGAGAGAGAGGAACAAGUAAGAAAAGCUACUGCAAAUUUUAGAAUCAUGGCAGAGAUUAAAGUUUCUCCUGAUGUAAAGGCAAUGUUUGAUAGCAUCAA
Amphimedon queenslandica is the source of this 875-nucleotide long non-coding RNA. RefSeq lists it as uncharacterized. The record is from RefSeq and is a predicted model, not a curated record. NCBI's taxonomy places the organism in Eukaryota, Metazoa, Porifera, Demospongiae, Haplosclerida, Niphatidae. The transcript has 2 exons.